RNAcentral lists this transfer RNA (74 nucleotides) under Alteromonadaceae bacterium 2753L.S.0a.02. RNAcentral describes it as "tRNA-Cys". It matches the Rfam family "tRNA". Rfam says of the family: Transfer RNA (tRNA) molecules are approximately 80 nucleotides in length. Their secondary structure includes four short double-helical elements and three loops (D, anti-codon, and T loops). The record is from RNAcentral. Lineage: Bacteria; Pseudomonadati; Pseudomonadota; Gammaproteobacteria; Alteromonadales; Alteromonadaceae.
GGCGCGAUAGCAAAGUGGCUAUGCACUGGACUGCAACUCUAGAUACGAAGGUUCGAUUCCUUCUCGCGCCUCCA